This is a non-coding RNA of Roridomyces roridus, 97 nucleotides long. The record is from the annotation of a GenBank genome assembly. NCBI's taxonomy places the organism in Eukaryota, Fungi, Basidiomycota, Agaricomycetes, Agaricales, Mycenaceae.
GACCCAAUGGUCUAGAGGUAUGAUACACGCUUCGGGCUUCCCGGACCUCUGCGGUCUUGUAUGUGUGUGGCCCCGCGUUCGAAUCGCGGUUGGGUCC